Molecule: ribosomal RNA, 295 nt
Filed under: uncultured bacterium
Lineage: Bacteria
Description: partial 16S ribosomal RNA
Rfam family: Bacterial small subunit ribosomal RNA
Source: RNAcentral
CAAGUCGCACGAGAAAGGGGACUUCGGCCCUGAGUAGAGUGGCAGACGGGUGAGUAACACGUGGGUAACCUGCCCCCGAUGGGGAAUAACCCAGGGAAACUUGGGCUAAUACCGCAUAACAUCGCUUUUUCCUUGGAGAGGGCGAUUAAAGGUGGGGAUCGAAAGACCUACCGCUUAGGGAGGGGCCCGCGUCUGAUUAGCUUGUUGGUGGGGUAAUGGCCUACCAAGGCUUCGAUCAGUAGCCGGCCUGAGAGGGUGAUCGGCCACACUGGAACUGAGACACGGUCCAGACUCC